UGGGGAAUUUUGGACAAUGGGCGCAAGCCUGAUCCAGCCAUGCCGCGUGCAGGAAGAAGGCCUUCGGGUUGUAAACUGCUUUUGUCAGGGAAGAAAUCCUUUGGGUUAAUACCUCGAAGGGAUGACGGUACCUGAAGAAUAAGCACCGGCUAACUACGUGCCAGCAGCCGCGGUAAUACGUAGGGUGCGAGCGUUAAUCGGAAUUACUGGGCGUAAAGCGUGCGCAGGCGGCUUUGCAAGACAGAUGUGAAAUCCCCGGGCUCAACCUGGGAACUGCAUUUGUGACUGCAAGGCUAGAGUGCGGCAGAGGGAGAUGGAAUUCCGCGUGUAGCAGUGAAAUGCGUAGAUACGCGGAGGAACACCGAUGGCGAAGGCAAUCUCCUGGGCCUGCACUGACGCUCAUGCACGAAAGCGUGGGGAGCAAACNGGAUUAAUACCCUGGUAGUCCACGCCCUAAANGAUGUCAACUGGUUGUUGGACGGCUUGCUGUUCAGUAACGAAGCUAACGCGUGAAGUUGACCGCCUGGGGAGUACGGCCGCAAGGUUGAAACUC
Molecule: ribosomal RNA, 553 nt
Filed under: uncultured bacterium
Lineage: Bacteria
Description: partial 16S ribosomal RNA
Rfam family: Bacterial small subunit ribosomal RNA
Source: RNAcentral